AGCAAACAGAUUCAUCAAUUUCUACUGUUAAAAACUAUUUUACUGACAAAAUAACUAGACAUUUACAUGUAUCGUGCCAUGUGUACCUCAUGUUGAUGUACAAGGGCUAGUUUUAAUAGUAAAAAUAGAUGAAAAUUUUAACA
This is a non-coding RNA of Gossypium hirsutum (cotton), 143 nucleotides long. The record is from Rfam. Lineage: Eukaryota; Viridiplantae; Streptophyta; Magnoliopsida; Malvales; Malvaceae.